Molecule: long non-coding RNA, 2572 nt
Filed under: Macaca mulatta (Rhesus monkey)
Lineage: Eukaryota; Metazoa; Chordata; Mammalia; Primates; Cercopithecidae
Description: lncRNA (ENSMMUG00000060808.1)
Source: RNAcentral
GGGAGAGAGGUGGCUCAGCCAUUCAAGACCGUGUUUUCCACCUUCUUCAGUUCUUCUUUCAGCAAUAUGAAGUUAAAACCAGAUUACCUCCUUUUGAUAUCUCGGCUUAGAAGAAUACAGAAUGUGGCCACAUGUUACUCUUCUACCAAUGUCAGGAUAAAGCAUGCCUUAGGACCCCUCAAUGGAGAACUACGUCCAUUCCAUGCUCCUUCCAACUACCUUGAGAAAUGGCUCCAAAUUUUCCUUAAUAUUAUUCUGAAUUGCUCUAUGAAAUUAAAUAAGAUAUGCUUUGUGAACUUCUUGUGAAGAUUAAAUGAGAUGAAAAAUGCAAAGUGCUGGAGGACCACCAGCAGGAGCUCUAUACAUGAAAAACUGUUGUUAUUAUUGACAAAAUAAAGGUAAAGGUUGCAUUCAAGACUGUUAAGAAAUUGUUACAGAAAAUAUUUUUAUUAGUCAUUGUACAGAUAAAGAAAGUGAUUCUCAUAUAAAGAAAAUGUUCUAUUUAAACUUUUUAUUUAAAUUUAAAUGUUCUAUUUAAAAUGAAAAAAUUACAAUGCUUCUGCCUUUUAUGAUGAGAGAUAACAAGUCAUGUUAGUAGAAGAAUAAAUCAAAAUAUUCCCUUACCUACAAAAAUUGAUGAGUGUACAAGCCACACUUAAGAAUUUGUGAUCAUGUUUAAGGAAAGAUGACAAUAUGAAGACCUUGAGUAUUGCCUUAGUUUUGCAAAAGACCUCGCUAGGCCUUCCUGAUUAGCUCAAGAAAAGUCCCCAGAGAAGGUUUUAAGGAAGAAGAAAGAGGACAAGAAAACUGGACAUAACCUAAGCGAAAAUUUUGACAUGGACAUAUCCUCAUAGAACAAGACACAAUACUGUAAGGGGCAGCAGGGUGGAUGGCUCUGUGUGACGGUCUUGGUUGCAUACUCCCCUUCACUUAGGUCAAACAAAACCCAAACAUCUCUUUGUAAACACCUCUCAUUUUCAUUGUCCAUGUGGAGAAGCUCAGAGCUUUCAUUUGGCCUAAGUGACCUACUAACCACUUUACAGCCUAUUCAGGUGCAGUUUUUAAUACUGCACAUGUUGGAAAUGAAACUGGUGCUUAUAACUCCUAGAAGUAUAAAUUUUAAUGAAGAUUCUAAAAACUUUAUCUUGGGCCUGUGAAGGUGUAGAUUAAAAAAAGUUCCAUUUCUUGGGGAAAGGAUUCCCUAUUUAAUAAAUGGUGCUGGGAAAAUUGGCUAGCCAUAAGUAGAAAGCUGAAACUGGAUCCUUUCCUUACUCCUUAUGCAAAAAUUAAUUCAAGAUGGAUUAGAGACUUAAAUGUUAGACCUAAUACCAUAAAAACCCUAGAAGAAAACCUAGGUAAUACCAUUCAGGACACAGGCAUGGGCAAGGACUUCAUGUCUAAAACACCAAAAGGAACGGCAACAAAAGCCAAAAUUGACUAAUGAGAUCUAAUUAAACUAAAGAGCUUCUGCACAGCAAAAGAAACUACCAUCAGAGUGAACAGGCAACCUACAGAAUGGGAGAAAAUUUUUGCAAUCUACUCAUCUGACAAAGGGCUAAUAUCCAGAACCUACAAAGAACUCAAACAAAUUUACAAGAAAAAAACAAACAACCCCAUCGAAAAGUGGGCAAAGAAUAUGAACAGACAUUUCUCAAAAGAAGACAUUCAUACAGCCAACAGACACAUGAAAAAAUGCUCAUCAUCACUGGCCAUCAGAGAAAUGCAAAUCAAAACCACAAUGAGAUACCAUCUCACACCAGUUAGAAUGGCAAUCAUUAAAAAGUCAGGAAACAACAGGUGCUGGAGAGGAUGUGGAGAAAUAGGAACACUUUUACACUGUUGGUGGGAUUGUAAACUAGUUCAACCAUUAUGGAAAACAGUAUGGUGAUUCCUCAAGGAUCUAGAACUAGAAGUACCAUAUGACCCAGCCAUCCCAUUACUGGGGAUAUACCCAAAGGAUUAUAAAUCAUGCUGCUAUAAAGACACAUGCACACGUAUGUUUAUUGCGGCACUAUUCACAAUAGCAAAGACUUGGAAUCAACCCAAAUAUCCAUCAGUGACAGACUGGAUUAAGAAACUGUGGCACAUAUACACCAUGGAAUACUAUGCAGCCAUAAAAAAGCAUGAGUUUGUGUCCUUUGUAGGGACAUGGAUGCAGCUGGAAACCAUCAUUCUCAGCAAACUAUCACAAGAACAGAAAACCAAACACCGCAUGUUCUCACUCAUAGGUGGGAACUGAACAAUGAGAUCACUUGGACUCGGGAAGGGGAACAUCACACACUGGGGCCUAUCACGGGGAGGGGAGAGGGGGGAGGGAUUGCAUUGGGAGUUAUACCUGAUGUAAAUGACGAGUUGAUGGGUGCUGGCGAGUUGAUGGGUGCAGCACGCCAACAUGGCACAGGUAUACAUAUGUAACAAACCUGCACGUUAUCCACACGUACCCUAGAACUUAAAGUAUAAUUAAAAAAAAAAAAAGUUCCGUUUCUGACAUGUCUAUAAUGAACUUCAUUGCUGCUUUUAAAAAAUUUUUCCUUUCGAUAAGAAAUUAAAGACUGAUUUCCUCUUUACAAAA